GUCUACAGCCAUACCACCCUGAACGCGCCCGAUCUCGUCUGAUCUUGGAACCUAAGCAGGGUCGGGCCUGGUUAGUACUUGGAUGGGAGAAAAGGGUGUUGAAGUCU
This 107-nucleotide ribosomal RNA is filed under the name Felis catus (domestic cat). The record is from RNAcentral. Lineage: Eukaryota; Metazoa; Chordata; Mammalia; Carnivora; Felidae.